RNAcentral lists this ribosomal RNA (277 nucleotides) under uncultured bacterium. Its description in RNAcentral is "partial 16S ribosomal RNA". It matches the Rfam family "Bacterial small subunit ribosomal RNA", at positions 333 to 602 of the family's 1533-position model. The record is from RNAcentral.
GAGGUCCUACGGGGGGCAGCAGUAGGGAAUCUUCCACAAUGGGCGAAAGCCUGAUGGAGCAACGCCGCGUGGGUGAAGAAGGUCUUCGGAUCGUAAAACCCUGUUGUUAGAGAAGAAAGUGCGUGAGAGUAACUGUUCACGUUUCGACGGUAUCUAACCAGAAAGCCACGGCUAACUACGUGCCAGCAGCCGCGGUAAUACGUAGGUGGCAAUCGUUAUCCGGAUUUAUUGGGCGUAAAGAGAACGCAGGCGGUCUUUUAAGUCUUAUGUGAAAGCC